UGCCUCCCCAUGGUAAGCGGGGCUAAGCAGCCCACAGCAGCCGCUGCUCCACAGCCCUCGCCACCCGGGACCCUGCGGCCACCAUUUUCUCUCCGGACUGAACAUGGAUUUUGAGCUCCUUGAGGGAAGGAUGAUGCAUGUCUUGCUCAAGCUGUACUUUUCCAAUCAUUUAAUCCGGAGGCUCACAUUAAAAUAUCUGCAGUCCCAACUCUGUUGCACAUUUGAAAGUAAAGAGCUUAAAUGAAUAUCCAGAUCACUGCACCUGGCUAGGAAUAUCCAAAAGCCAAUGAAAACCCUGAAUAAUUUUGUUUACUGAGAUAUUCAAUAAAAUAUCCC
Molecule: long non-coding RNA, 336 nt
Organism: Ornithorhynchus anatinus (platypus)
Lineage: Eukaryota; Metazoa; Chordata; Mammalia; Monotremata; Ornithorhynchidae
Exons: 3
Source: RefSeq, a predicted model, not a curated record